RNAcentral lists this ribosomal RNA (427 nucleotides) under uncultured bacterium. Its description in RNAcentral is "partial 16S ribosomal RNA". It matches the Rfam family "Bacterial small subunit ribosomal RNA", at positions 355 to 774 of the family's 1533-position model. The record is from RNAcentral.
UGGGGAAUAUUGGACAAUGGGCGAAAGCCUGAUGCAGCCAUGCCGCGUGUAUGAAGAAGGCCUUCGGGUUGUAAAGUACUUUCAGCGGGGAGGAAGGCGAUAAGGUUAAUAACCUUGUCGAUUGACGUUACCCGCAGAAGAAGCACCGGCUAACUCCGUGCCAGCAGCCGCGGUAAUACGGAGGGUGCAAGCGUUAAUCGGAAUUACUGGGCGUAAAGCGCACGCAGGCGGUCUGUCAAGUCGGAGGUGAAAUCCCCGGGCUCAACCUGGGAACUGCAUUCGAAACUGGCAGGCUAGAGUCUUGUAGAGGGGGGUAGAAUUCCAGGUGUAGCGGUGAAAUGCGUAGAGAUCUGGAGGAAUACCGGUGGCGAAGGCGGCCCCCUGGACAAAGACUGACGCUCAGGUGCGAAAGCGUGGGGAGCAAACA